GUGGGUAUGGCUUGGUGGUGGAGUGCAUGUUUAGCAUGCAUGAGGUCCUGGGUUCAAUACCCAGUACCUCCA
Molecule: transfer RNA, 72 nt
Organism: Camelus ferus (Wild Bactrian camel)
Lineage: Eukaryota; Metazoa; Chordata; Mammalia; Artiodactyla; Camelidae
Rfam family: tRNA
About the family: Transfer RNA (tRNA) molecules are approximately 80 nucleotides in length. Their secondary structure includes four short double-helical elements and three loops (D, anti-codon, and T loops).
Source: Rfam